This is a non-coding RNA of Papio anubis (olive baboon), 300 nucleotides long. The record is from Rfam. Lineage: Eukaryota; Metazoa; Chordata; Mammalia; Primates; Cercopithecidae.
ACUGGGCAUGGUGGCGCAUGCCUGUAGUCCCAGCUCUUCAGGAGGCUGAUGGGGGAGGAUCGCUUGAGCUCAGGAGUUCUGGGCUGUAGUGUGCUAUGCCAAUCGGGUGUCCACACUAAGUUCAGCAUCAAUACAGUGACCUCCCGGGGGUGGGGGACCUCCAGAUUGCCUAGGAAAGGGUGAAUUGGCUCAGGUUGGAAUCGGAGCAGGUCAAAACUCCCAUGCUGAUCAAUAGUGGGAUCGUGCUUGGGUAUAGCCACUGCAUGCCAGCCUGGGCAACAUAGUGAGGGCCCAUCUCUU